RNAcentral lists this long non-coding RNA (259 nucleotides) under Gossypium raimondii (Peruvian cotton). Its description in RNAcentral is "long non-coding RNA (GRAI_LNC006535)". Lineage: Eukaryota; Viridiplantae; Streptophyta; Magnoliopsida; Malvales; Malvaceae. The record is from RNAcentral.
UCAGUUAGCAAAAAUAUUCCCCCUUGUGGUUGAACAUUUUCUUCACUCGUUUCCUUUUCUAGCUCUUUCUAUUUUUCCACUCUUUCUUUUAUUUCUUCAAUUUCAUUGAAACAUUCAUCUUUCUCAUUUUCUUGUCUUUUUCUUUUGUUUUCCUCCCUUUCACUCUCGAACUCUUUUUCAAAAUUAUUUUCUUGCUCACAAUCUUUUUCUUUCUCUUUUCGUUCAAGCUCUCUUUUUCUUUCAAUUUCUUUCAUUUUUG